RNAcentral lists this ribosomal RNA (261 nucleotides) under Triticum aestivum (bread wheat). RNAcentral's name for it is "partial small subunit ribosomal RNA". The record is from RNAcentral. Lineage: Eukaryota; Viridiplantae; Streptophyta; Magnoliopsida; Poales; Poaceae.
AUGCUCACGGACACGCUGCUCAUCCUGGCGGCGGUGCUCUGCUUCAUGCUCCGCAUGGUCGGGCUGGCCAUGGUGGCCCAGUGCUCCCGCGUGUGCAAUCCCUCCGCCUUCUUCAUCGACGCGUCGGGGCAGUCGCGACGUCGUGCAAGGGGAUCAAGAAGAAGGCGCUGCAGUCGCUGCCCACGGACGAGCGCAUCCGGCGGAGUUCGCAUGCGGCGAGGAGGUGCAUGUGCUCCCGACCUCUCGUCCUGGGACAGAUGA